UAAAUAUUAAGUUGACUUAAAUUAACUUAUAACUUAUUCAUCCAUUUUCUCUCUUAUAGUACAAAAUUUAUACAUAAUUUAUACAUGUACAUAAAUCAAAUUAAAAAAUUCAUAAUAAACUAAUAGUAAAAUAUUGAAAAAAUAAAAUAAUAACUAAAAAAACUCAAAUACAAAUUUAUAUUCAAUUUAAAUAUUAAAUACAAAGAUUCAAAUAUUUUGAUAAAAUUAAAAAAAACUUAAAUAAAAUAUGAUUUAAUCUCCAUACUUGUAUCACCAACUUUAACCUCUACCAAUCCUAAUAUAUCAGUAGCAUAUUCUUAUGUCAAAAAACAAGUAAGUAAAAAAAUUAAUGUUAAUUAGUAACAAAUAUACAUAAUCUUAUUAAAAUUAAAAAUUUAAUGAAUUAAAAAAAAUGUGUACCUAAACUUUUGAAAGAAGAAUUGGAUUUAAAUUUGCAUCUGCACAAAUUUUCUUUUUCUUGCUUGUCUUCUUUUUUUCUUUUCGGGGACAUGUAACAACAUUAUGUUCUUGACCUUUGCAUAAUCCACAAGCAUUCAUAUUAUGAGAUAACUCUUUUCC
Molecule: long non-coding RNA, 579 nt
Filed under: Lathyrus oleraceus (garden pea)
Lineage: Eukaryota; Viridiplantae; Streptophyta; Magnoliopsida; Fabales; Fabaceae
Description: Pisum sativum (pea) long non-coding RNA (PSAT_LNC023539)
Source: RNAcentral